RNAcentral lists this ribosomal RNA (300 nucleotides) under uncultured Methanocaldococcus sp. RNAcentral describes it as "bacterial SSU rRNA". It matches the Rfam family "Bacterial small subunit ribosomal RNA", at positions 496 to 795 of the family's 1533-position model. Lineage: Archaea; Methanobacteriati; Methanobacteriota; Methanococci; Methanococcales; Methanocaldococcaceae. The record is from RNAcentral.
GCUAACUACGUGCCAGAGGCGGCGGUACUCCGUAGGGUGCGAGCGUGAAGCGGAAUUACUGGGCGUAAAGCGUUGGCAGGCGGUUAUGUAAGACAGAUGUGAAAUCCCCGGGCUGAACCUGGGAACUGCAUUUGUGACUGCAUGGCUAGAGUACGGUAGAGGGGGAUGGAAUUCCGCGUGUAGCAGUGAAAUGCGUAGAUAUGCGGAGGAACACCGAUGGCGAAGGCAAUCCCCUGGACCUGUACUGACGCUCAUGCACGAAAGCGUGGGGAGCAAACAGGAUUAGAUACCCGGGUAGUC